RNAcentral lists this ribosomal RNA (480 nucleotides) under uncultured bacterium. RNAcentral's name for it is "bacterial SSU rRNA". It matches the Rfam family "Bacterial small subunit ribosomal RNA", at positions 30 to 506 of the family's 1533-position model. The record is from RNAcentral.
UUGAACGCUGGCGGCAUGCCUUACACAUGCAAGUCGAACGGUAACAGGUCUUCGGACGCUGACGAGUGGCGAACGGGUGAGUAAUACAUCGGAACGUGCCCAGUCGUGGGGGAUAACUACUCGAAAGAGUAGCUAAUACCGCAUACGAUCUGAGGAUGAAAGCGGGGGACCUUCGGGCCUCGCGCGGUUGGAGCGGCCGAUGGCAGAUUAGGUAGUUGGUGGGAUAAAAGCUUACCAAGCCGACGAUCUGUAGCUGGUCUGAGAGGACGACCAGCCACACUGGGACUGAGACACGGCCCAGACUCCUACGGGAGGCAGCAGUGGGGAAUUUUGGACAAUGGGCGAAAGCCUGAUCCAGCAAUGCCGCGUGCAGGAUGAAGGCCUUCGGGUUGUAAACUGCUUUUGUACGGAACGAAAAAGCUUCUCCUAAUACGAGAGGCCCAUGACGGUACCGUAAGAAUAAGCACCGGCUAACUACGU